Molecule: ribosomal RNA, 465 nt
Filed under: uncultured bacterium
Lineage: Bacteria
Description: partial 16S ribosomal RNA
Rfam family: Bacterial small subunit ribosomal RNA
Source: RNAcentral
GCUACGGGCGGCAGCAGUAGGGAAUCUUCCACAAUGGGCGAAAGCCUGAUGGAGCAACGCCGCGUGGGUGAAGAAGGUCUUCGGAUCGUAAAACCCUGUUGUUAGAGAAGAAAGUGCGGGAGAGUAACUGUUCACGUGUCGACGGUAUCGAACCAGAAAGCCACGGCUAACUACGUGCCAGCAGCCGCGGUAAUACGUAGGUGGCAAGCGUUAUCCGGAUUUAUUGGGCGUAAAGGGAACGCAGGCGGUCUUUUAAGUCUGUUGUGAAAGCCUUCGGCUUACCCGGAGUAGUGCAUUGGAAACUGGGAGACUUGCGUGCAGAAGAGGAGAGUGGAACUCCAUUUGUAGCGGUGAAAUGCGUAGAUAUAUGGAAGAACACCAGUGGCGACCGCGGCUCUCUGGUCUGUAACUGACGCUGAGGUUCGAAAGCGCGGGUAUCGAACAGGAUUAGAUACCCGUGUAGUC